AUUGAUUCUAAUAGCAAUUAAACCCAGGAGAGUCUCUCCUUGCGUCUGAAACAGUCCAGAAACGUCCGUUAACUAUUCAAUCGCUCCGGUGAAAUCCUAGCUGCAGACGUCACAAAGCUGCCCACAAAAUCUCGUCUCGAUCGAAAAACAGACGAGACCACGAUCUCAGUUUCAAUCUCCGCUGGUCCUAAUUCGCGUCUGAGAAAACGUGUCUCACGAAACUUUUACCACGGUUUGAUAUGACGAAACUGAUUUCUCCCAAACCCUAACGAUUCUGCUCAUUCUCCUUUUCUCUCUUUUUCUCCUUUACAAAACGAAAAGUGGCUAACUAAAGCCCUAAUUUCGAGUUUCCUUCUUUUAUAGGCAUACUCUAGGGUUUCCAAUUAACCCAACCAAUUAAACCGGAUGAUUUAAAAACAAACCCUAACUGAUUUUCCGGUUCACGGCCGUUACACAUCCACUCUAUAAGAAUUAUCAAACCCCAGGCCUCGACAGAUCCUCUCUGCUCUGUUCCCUCCAGCAUGAGUUUCGAACAAUGCAAGCAGGUCUGUUUUAUAAUUCUUCAACAUAAAUCGAAUUGCUCUUCGAAAAUUGGGUUUAUUCGCCCCCCCUGCAGUUCCAGAAUAGACAAUCCAUUAAAAAUUGUAGAGUUAAAUACCAAACUACCGGGGAAAAACGUCAUGCCAUUCCCUCACUGGAAUUCCC
RNAcentral lists this small RNA (705 nucleotides) under Arabidopsis thaliana (thale cress). RNAcentral's name for it is "ATSL077420". The record is from RNAcentral. Lineage: Eukaryota; Viridiplantae; Streptophyta; Magnoliopsida; Brassicales; Brassicaceae.